UACGUAGGGUGCAAGCGUUAAUCGGAAUUACUGGGCGUAAAGCGUGCGCAGGCGGUUUUGUAAGUCUGACGUGAAAUCCCCGGGCUCAACCUGGGAAUUGCGUUGGAGACUGCAAGGCUAGAAUCUGGCAGAGGGGGGUAGAAUUCCACGUGUAGCAGUGAAAUGCGUAGAGAUGUGGAGGAACACCGAUGGCGAAGGCAGCCCCCUGGGUCAAGAUUGACGCUCAUGCACGAAAUCGUGGGGAGCAAACAGG
Molecule: ribosomal RNA, 253 nt
Filed under: uncultured bacterium
Lineage: Bacteria
Description: partial 16S ribosomal RNA
Rfam family: Bacterial small subunit ribosomal RNA
Source: RNAcentral